CCUUCCCUCUGCGAGAACUCCAAAACCUACCUCAAAACUCAUCUCCACCGAAACUCCACAAAAACCCAUCUCCGCUGAAACAUUCCUCCAUGCCUCCUCCACCACUUUACUGCGAUGCCCGCGACCUUGCCUCCUCCACCACUCCUCGCCGCCAGCGACCUAGUUUUCUCCGCCACUCCUCUACGCUGACCAUGACCUAGCUUCCUUCUCACAAAGGGUUACAAGAGGUUUCGCCGUUCCUAACCGCGAAGCCGUCCUUUGCACAAAGGGGUCUCGACAUUCCUCACAUAGACGCUGUUCCUCACCGCGACGCUGUGCUUCACACAAAGGGGUCUUGCCGGUAAUUAAGAAGCUCUUCAAUACAAGAAUAGAUGUCUGCUUUUCCUUUUCUUGUUGAGAUUUGGGCUUGUUGUUUUGGAUCUGUGUCAUAACUGGCACAGUUAGCUAAUUCAAUUAUUGUUUGUCUUCCUCCUCAUCUCCAUUGGCCAGGUCGCCCCUUUUCUUCUCUUGUUUGUGGCUUUUCACUUGCCUUGUUUGAAUUCUUUUGCUUGCCAAAUGAUCUAGAGAUUCUUGAUUGCCCGAGGAGUGAGCUAUAUCCCCCUGCCAAAGAAGAGAUCGCCUAGCGAUGCACCUUUCACACUUGUUAUUCUAUCUGAAUCUAAAGCAUGCCUCGAGAAAGUUCUGGGUAGUCAUUUACUAUUUAACGCUUCUCCGACUGUCUACGACCAUUUGAUAUCUAGGGUAUAAUUCUCACACUUAAAGUGGCCUUGCAAUUGCAUUCAUGUCCUACUAGUAAGGCUUCUUUACUAUGCAGAUUAUUCCCAUUUUUUCUUUUUCAAAUUUAGUUUCUGGCGAGGAAUGACGUACGAUUUAGUUGUUGAAAUUUAUUGCUGGAGUUCAUUGCACAGAACUACAUUCAUAGAACACAAGUGGAUCUAUAAGUCAUUUUGACCCAUUCUACAUUCAGAGAGUUAAUCUAUGUUAAGUAGGCAAAGUGUUUGUGGUAAGUGUUGGUUUUUUUCAUUACAUUAUUAUGCUAAUGGUUAUGAAAAUCAUGCUUUGAAGUUGUACUUGCUCUAGUUAUUCUAAUUCUUGUAUCCAAAUAUUUUACUUGUCAGUAGCAUUCUUCUUUUGAAUAACAUGAAUCUUGAGAUAAAUCUAUGUUGCAACAUGAUGUGUGCACAAAAAUUGUUGAUUUGUUUCCUGAAUGACUAUGCUUGAUUUGGCCUUUAGCUUACCCUUGCAAUCUAAUGCCAAUUAUAAUAGGUAGCAUUGAUAUAGUGAAACUGAGAAGUACAACCGUUGAUUAUUUUGAUUUGGAUAUUCGACGAACACUAUUCUAAGUUUGUUGCUCUAGAAAUAAGGAUAAAUGGAACUCACUUAAAGCAAAAUGGGGGGAAACAAUCUAAUCUAAUUUCCUCUUCAACUUACUUGUCGCUAUUAGUUGGAAGUUAAUGUUAGGAAAGAAACCACAAGCUAGGAAGCUUUUUCGGGGAGAAAUCCUUAUGAUUUGAUUCUGGGUUUUUAAUUUAUGGGAAAUGACCUUCGUGCAUUUAUUCAUUUAAAUACUUCUCUUAGUGCAUCACAUUUGAACAUUUAUGUCAGUAUAUCCCUCUUCCAACAAAUUUAAAAUUAUGUAUUUAACUAUAUGUUGCACAGUAGUUGUCCAAGAAGGUAAGAAUUUAUUCCUUGACAUUAUUUUCAUUAUCUAAGAUAUUCUCUCCUUUACUUUGACAUUUCUAUUCUGAUACAUUAUUUGUUAUCAUAUUCUAAUUGGUUAGCCUCAUGUUUUAAACUCUGCUGACACAAUUGUCAGUUGCUAUUGUGCUAAUUUUGAAUAGAUAUUAUUAUUUAAUGACAACAUAUUAACUUGUAAAUUGUAGAUAUUUUAUCAUAUUCCACCAAAUUAUUUAUAUAUAUUAAUUUUGUCAGUUGCUAUUCUGCUCAUGGUAAGAAAUAGUUGCUCAUAUUAUUUUUUUAUAGUAUUAUAUGCUAUGUGCACUUCUAAAAUCUAGAGUUGAAUCACCAGACUUCCUUGAAAAGCAUGAACACAUCCAAACAUCUGUUUACCAAAAUAUUCAUGGUGAUGAUAAUGCAUCAUGGGAUGUGGUCACUGCUAAAGAUUUGUGGGAUGAUAAGCAUUUUGAUGGGAAGGAUGACGUUAACCAAGAUGAUUAUGUACUUGUUAAGUAAGAGGACAUAGUGGAUGGCGUGGCAUGCUUCAUGGCUACUUAUCUGCUAUCGCUAAAGCAAACUAAAGUAUGCCUAGAUGGAAAUCUUAUAAAAAAAUUAUUUUAUUUGUAUUGCUUAGUAAUAGUUUUCAUUUUUAACUAUUUGAACAACUUUAUGAUGGAGUCCGCUCAUUGCUACUGUUUGGUAUUGCAGGAAUUAACUCCAAAUCUUAUGACAGAAAAAAUAUACAAAUGAUGUUGCUAGAUUUCUUAUGUCCUCAGAAACUUGUUUACAUAUACAUGGAAACAGAUCUUAUGUUAGCAUACAUAAAACUAUAUGAGAGAUUCUUUUUAUUUCCAAUCACAGGAACCAAGCUAGAUAUUUCAAAGGAUUCUCAUGAACCUCGUUGGCAUUGCAGAUAGUCAACAAGUUCCAAUCAUGAUCAUUGUGAUCAAUUACAAGAAUUCUCCUUCCUAACUUAGAAAGUAUUUUUUGGUAGAGAGCAGAAUCUAAAAAAUCUUGAUGAAUGUAGAAAGAAACUGAAAGUGGAGUUUUUUUUGCUAAGAAGGGUACUCAUAUUUUCCAAGAAGAUGUAAUAUUAUCAGAGAGAUUCAAUCCAAGAAGAGUUUUUUACUUUUGUAUAGACUUAACAUUGAUCCAAAGUUUGUAGAUUAUGUAUACAUAUUUUAUGUUUGAAUUGCAUGACACAUUUCUAGUUUGGUUA
Molecule: long non-coding RNA, 2896 nt
Organism: Zingiber officinale
Lineage: Eukaryota; Viridiplantae; Streptophyta; Magnoliopsida; Zingiberales; Zingiberaceae
Exons: 3
Source: RefSeq, a predicted model, not a curated record